UGCAGUCGAGCGGCAGCGGAAGUAGCUUGCUACUUUGCCGGCGAGCGGCGGACGGGUGAGUAAUGUCUGGGAAACUGCCUGAUGGAGGGGGAUAACUACUGGAAACGGUAGCUAAUACCGCAUAACGUCGCAAGACCAAAGAGGGGGACCUUCGGGCCUCUUGCCAUCAGAUGUGCCCAGAUGGGAUUAGCUAGUAGGUGGGGUAACGGCUCACCUAGGCGACGAUCCCUAGCUGGUCUGAGAGGAUGACCAGCCACACUGGAACUGAGACACGGUCCAGACUCCUACGGGAGGCAGCAGUGGGGAAUAUUGCACAAUGGGCGCAAGCCUGAUGCACCCAUGCCGCGUGUAUGAAGAAGGCCUUCGGGUUGUAAAGUACUUUCAGCGGGGAGGAAGGUGGUGAGGUUAAUAACCUCAGCAAUUGACGUUACCCGCAGAAGAAGCACCGGCUAACUCCGUGCCAGCAGCCGCGGUAAUACGGAGGGUGCAAGCGUUAAUCGGAAUUACUGGGCGUAAAGCGCACGCAGGCGGUCUGUCAAGUCGGAUGUGAAAUCCCCGGGCUCAACCUGGGAACUGCAUUCGAAACUGGCAGGCUAGAGUCUUGUAGAGGGGGGUAGAAUUCCAGGUGU
This 629-nucleotide ribosomal RNA is filed under the name Enterobacter ludwigii. RNAcentral's name for it is "bacterial SSU rRNA". It matches the Rfam family "Bacterial small subunit ribosomal RNA", at positions 56 to 676 of the family's 1533-position model. Lineage: Bacteria; Pseudomonadati; Pseudomonadota; Gammaproteobacteria; Enterobacterales; Enterobacteriaceae. The record is from RNAcentral.